This 702-nucleotide long non-coding RNA is filed under the name Gossypium raimondii (Peruvian cotton). RNAcentral describes it as "long non-coding RNA (GRAI_LNC001055)". The record is from RNAcentral. Lineage: Eukaryota; Viridiplantae; Streptophyta; Magnoliopsida; Malvales; Malvaceae.
UAGGAAAGACAAACAAGCAUUAAUCUUCUUGUGCACAUUAAUUUCAAAAUGAAUUACUAGUAACAUAUUUGUAAGACCAUGUAACCACAUUUUACCACCAAUAAAUGUUGUGAAUCCCAUACAAAGAGGAAAGAAAAGAAAGGGAAAAAGAACUGUCAUAAAAAGAAAAAUUGGCCGUUGAUUGACCAUGUAUGCCCCUUUCAGUAUGGGAAGCCCCAAUUCACUUUCCUCAAAUUUCCCAUUACAUAAAUAACAAAAAGGAAAACAAAAAUUCACAGAGCACAGGUAAUGCAUUAAAAUUUGCAACACCAAACAGAACCAUGAAAGAGGGAGACCCAUAAAUGCAACCAGUAAGUUAGAAGGAACAUUUUUAAAUCAUCCAUGAAUGAAUAUCAAAGAUCGAUAAUUACAGAACAAAUCGAUACGAAUCAAUCUUAAACCAAACAAAACAUGUUUAAUCCACUCAAAGCGGUUAAGAAUAAAGGCUAAAGUUUAUAGACAGCAGAUUUAACAUGUUUUGAAUCUGCUUACAUGCAGAAAAAAUAAAAGACAGUAACAAGGUUGACAGAGAGUUAGAAACCUACCUUUCAGUUACACUAACUCGGAAAUCGGCAGAAAAGAAAAUGAGAAGAAAUAAAGGGAGCAAAUCGGUAGAAAAGAAAAGAAAAUAAACAGAGGGCAGAAAAGAAAAGAAACGGAGGG